UACCGGAUAACAACACUAGACGCAUGUCUAGAGUUUGAAAGAUGGUUCUGCUAUCACUCUUGGAUGGACCUGCGGUGCAUUAGCUAGUUGGUAAGGUAACGGCUUACCAAGGCAAUGAUGCAUAGCCGAGUUGAGAGACUGAUCGGCCACAUUGGGACUGAGACACGGCCCAAACUCCUACGGGAGGCAGCAGUAGGGAAUCUUCCACAAUGGACGAAAGUCUGAUGGAGCAACGCCGCGUGAGUGAAGAAGGGUUUCGGCUCGUAAAGCUCUGUUGGUAGUGAAGAAAGAUAGAGGUAGUAACUGGCCUUUAUUUGACGGUAAUUACUUAGAAGGUCACGGCUAACUACGUGCCAGCAGCCGCGGUAAUACGUAGGUGGCAAGCGUUGUCCGGAUUUAUUGGGCGUAAAGCGAGUGCAGGCGGUUCAAUAAGUCUGAUGUGAAAGCCUUCGGCUCAACCGGAGAAUUGCAUCAGAAACUGUUGAACUUGAGUGCAGAAGAGGAGAGUGGAACUCCAUGUGUAGCGGUGGAAUGCGUAGAUAUAUGGAAGAACACCGGUGGCGAAGGCGGCUCUCUGGUCUGCAACUGACGCUGAGGCUCGAAAGCAUGGGUAGCGAACAGGAUUAGAUACCCUGGUAGUCCAUGCCGUAAACGAU
Molecule: ribosomal RNA, 656 nt
Filed under: uncultured bacterium
Lineage: Bacteria
Description: bacterial SSU rRNA
Rfam family: Bacterial small subunit ribosomal RNA
Source: RNAcentral